UCGUGCAGAGGUCUCCCAGUCUGACCCGUGCUCAGCCAGCUCUUGAUGUCAGUAGGUGAGGUGUAGGGACAGUGGCGGUUCUGUGCACAAAGCCGGCACUGGCCGCUCCCCUUCCUGGCAGACGGUCAACCAGCUCAGGAGGGGAACUUCCAACCAGUUAAGUUGUAGGCGAGGAUUCAAAAAGGCUGACGUUGUCGUCCGAGGCCUAAAGGCAACCGGGCUUUUGAAAAAGCAGGUUCCAGUGGUGCACUCGACCCAGAUUAGGGGCCGGCAGCGUCCACGUGGGGCAGGGUCUUUAGAUGUUUCCCAUGGUUGGCACCGCCUUCACUCCCACUUUGCUGCCGUGAGGUUGGGGAAGGAAGCUCAGGUGCACCUCUGUGUACCUGGGGGGGCUCCACGCUCUGCUAGUCGAUCGGAAAUGAUGUGAUUGGAGAUUUCAGACACGGGUCACUGGCGAUUUUCCCUGUUGGGACUGAGCGUUUUUUGGUGUGAGGCUGUGGGAAAUGACCUUAUUUUUUGGCCGUGGGACGUGGGCCUGGCCCCUCCUCCAAUACAGUCCAGCUCACUGUGGCUGGUGCUCACAGCCACAGCCGCCCUGCUCUGCCCCUUGCCCCCUCCUGCCCCGACACCAGGCUGCUCAGUGCCAGGUGCCUGCGUCCCUGGCCAACGCGGAGGGCAGGAGAGUGCACAGCGGUCUGACUAGCUACAUUCCCGCUUCCUGCAGAACAAGCGCAGGGGUGCAGUUGUCCUGCCAGACUUUCUAACUGAGUUGUUUCCAGAUGGCCAGACCCCUCCCUUAGCCAGCUGCCCUCUCGGCCUGACACCUUGAGGGCCGGUUGCAGUGUGCGGGUUGCCCAGGUUGCACAGCUGCUGCUGUGAGGACACUUCAGUGCUUGUGAGCUGAGCUGAAGAGGAUCAGAAACCUGCUCAGCCCUUUGUCAUUCGGGGAAUUUCCUAAGUUCCUUGUGACCACGGUGUCUCGAGUGUAGACUGGGAGCACCUGACUGACUCUAGCCAUGUUCUUUUGGACACUUUCAAGAAUGCCUACGGGAAUGUUCUCAUAUAACCCUCACCUGCCUUGAGGAUAAGAUGACCCAAUUCGUGGUCCAUCCCAGUGUUAACGUAGGCCGACUUCUCUGUCUUUACUUUUGGGAGAAGAUCUGAAGUGUAAUUUGUAUGUUCUCAGAACAAUUUAGAGACAGAAGAAAGCCACAAUGCCAUCAGUUUGCCUGAUGCUGUGCAUGGGAACCAUACGGAGCGGUGUUUACAGCUGGGUGGCCUGCAGGCCAGCCUUCUAUGGGGCCAAGGUGACCAGCAGUGGCACCUGAGGCUCGGACAGAAAGGCAGCCCCUCUUCUGGGUCCUUUCUGUGCUCGCCGGGAGACCAGCCAGAGCACGUGAAAGGAUCAGAACAUUUUGCUUUUUUAGCUUAAUUCAGUACUUUUGGUUGUUGUUUGAGAUCAUACAGUCCGCCUGGAGAAGAAAAACUUUCAUCCUGUGUGAUCUUGAAACCCCACCCCGUGAGUGAGAAAGACAACAGUGGAGAUGGAAAGAGUUGUGGUCGCUCUCAGGCAUCCGCUUGGGCUUGCCAGGUGCGGCUGGGGCAGGGCCGGGACCCGAGGAAGCAGCUGCCGCGAGCCUGGGUCCUGGCUUGUGACCCGGACACGACAACCAUGGGGGGUUGUUUCUCCAUAAAGCAGCUUCUGAG
Long non-coding RNA from Phocoena sinus (vaquita), 1707 nucleotides. NCBI's taxonomy places the organism in Eukaryota, Metazoa, Chordata, Mammalia, Artiodactyla, Phocoenidae. The record is from Ensembl.